UCCCAUAUUUCUUCUACUUCGUGCAGGCUCGUGACAACAGCUGAUGUACAGUUUGCCAACGCUCUAGACAAUACACGAACGUUCAUUUGCACCCACAAGGGAAGAGAGAACUUGGCACUCACUGGAAGCGGUCCACUAUCCUCUUCCAAGCAACAAACCAUUGCUCUCAUCAUCAUUGCUGACGGAGGUAGACGACUACGUCUUCGUCUUUUUAUAGCUCCGCAAGAAAGGAGUUGUCAUCGUCGCCAUUUUCUUCACCAUCAUUACUAUCUUCACUACCAGCAGACAGAACGCCAAGGAGGUGAGUUGCCGUUAUCAUAGAUAUUGUCGGCUGCGGGAAUGGAGCAGGCUUGAAGGUAUGAUCGCCGGUAGCUUUAUCUUUGUCCACCACCAACCUAUUCACAACCAUCAUCACUUUUGAUUACCAACUCUUUGAAAUCCUCUCACUCUUCAAAAGGGCUUGGAUCUCAAAACAGCGGGGGGGCAGAUGAGCCAUUAUAGCUAUGUAGUAGCAUGCAUCAUAAUACCGCAC
Molecule: small RNA, 532 nt
Filed under: Cryptococcus neoformans H99
Lineage: Eukaryota; Fungi; Basidiomycota; Tremellomycetes; Tremellales; Cryptococcaceae
Description: Cryptococcus neoformans var. grubii H99 hypothetical RNA
Source: RNAcentral